CAGUAGCCGCGGUAAUACGUAGGGUGCAAGCGUUAAUCGGAAUUAUUGGGCGUAAAGCGAGUGCAGACGGUUACUUAAGCCAGAUGUGAAAUCCCCAAGCUUAACUUGGGACGUGCAUUUGAAACUGGGUGACUAGAGUGUGUCAGAGGGAGGUAGAAUUCCACAUGUAGCGGUGGAAUGCGUAGAGAUGUGGAGGAAUACCGAUGGCGAAGGCAGCCUCCUGGGAUAACACUGACGUUGAGGCUCGAAAGCGUGGGGAGCAAACAGGAUUAGAUACCCCCGUAGUCCCUGUCUCUUAUAC
RNAcentral lists this ribosomal RNA (301 nucleotides) under uncultured bacterium. Its description in RNAcentral is "partial 16S ribosomal RNA". It matches the Rfam family "Bacterial small subunit ribosomal RNA", at positions 509 to 807 of the family's 1533-position model. The record is from RNAcentral.